RNAcentral lists this ribosomal RNA (491 nucleotides) under uncultured bacterium. RNAcentral's name for it is "partial 16S ribosomal RNA". It matches the Rfam family "Bacterial small subunit ribosomal RNA", at positions 29 to 507 of the family's 1533-position model. The record is from RNAcentral.
GUGAACGCUGGCGGUAGGCCUAACCCCUGCAAGUCGAACGGCAGCACCGUAAGAGCUUGCUCUUACGGGUGGCGAGUGGCGGACGGGUGAGGAAUACAUCGGAAUCUACUUUUUCGUGGGGGAUAACGUAGGGAAACUUACGCUAAUACCGCAUACGACCUACGGGUGAAAGCAGGGGAUCUUCGGACCUUGCGCGAUUGAAUGAGCCGAUGUCGGAUUAGCUAGUUGGCGGGGUAAAGGCCCACCAAGGCGACGAUCCGUAGCCGGUCUGAGAGGAUGAUCAGCCACACUGGAACUGAGACACGGUCCAGACUCCUACGGGAGGCAGCAGUGGGGAAUAUUGGACAAUGGGCGCAAGCCUGAUCCAGCCAUACCGCGUGGGUGAAGAAGGCCUUCGGGUUGUAAAGCCCUUUUGUUGGGAAAGAAAAGCAGCAGGUUAAUACCCCGCUGUUCUGACGGUACCCAAAGAAUAAGCACCGGCUAACUUCGUG